GACGAACGCUGGCGGCGUGCUUAACACAUGCAAGUCGAACGGAAAGGCCCUGCUUUUGUGGGGGGCUCGAGUGGCGAACGGGUGAGUAACACGUGAGUAACCUGCCCUUGACUUUGGGAUAACUUCAGGAAACUGGGGCUAAUACCGGAUAGGAGCUCCUGCUGCAUGGUGGGGGUUGGAAAGUUUCGGCGGUUGGGGAUGGACUCGCGGCUUAUCAGCUUGUUGGUGGGGUAGUGGCUUACCAAGGCUUUGACGGGUAGCCGGCCUGAGAGGGGGACCGGCCACAUUGGGACUGAGAUACGGCCCAGACUCCUACGGGAGGCAGCAGUGGGGAAUAUUGCACAAUGGGCGGAAGCCUGAUGCAGCAACGCCGCGUGCGGGAUGACGGCCUUCGGGUUGUAAACCGCUUUCGCCUGUGACGAAGCGUGAGUGACGGUAAUGGGUAAAGAAGCACCGGCUAACUACGUG
RNAcentral lists this ribosomal RNA (468 nucleotides) under uncultured bacterium. RNAcentral's name for it is "partial 16S ribosomal RNA". It matches the Rfam family "Bacterial small subunit ribosomal RNA", at positions 28 to 507 of the family's 1533-position model. The record is from RNAcentral.